This 1775-nucleotide long non-coding RNA is filed under the name Bemisia tabaci. RNAcentral's name for it is "lncRNA ENSSSA1UGG008489". Lineage: Eukaryota; Metazoa; Arthropoda; Insecta; Hemiptera; Aleyrodidae. The record is from RNAcentral.
AUGGGGUGUGCUCGUCGAAGCUGGAUAAGAAGCAAUGUAAAAGUGUGCGUGAUUCCUUUUGAAGAAUUGGAAAAGUGGGAUAUUGCAUUCUAUCAAACAGACCUAUGUGCAACUGAAUGCGGAAUUCAUGAGCCGCGGGCAUGCGGCAAGAGCCUUGUGGACAGGGCUCAUGAGUUAAAGCGCCCCGACGUCGAGCUCUACGUCGGUUCGAGCCCGGUCGUCACCGCUGACGUCACUGGCGCUUUAUAUUCCCCAUUCAUUCUUAUGGCCCGACCACUAACGAGCACAAGAAACAAUGUAAAAGUGGAUAUAGUUCCUUUUGAGAAAAUUGAAAAGCGGGAUUUGACAUUAAAUCAGAAGGAGCUAAGCGCCAAAAUAUGCUAACUCAUGAGCCGCGUGCAUGGCAAGAGAGCGUUGUGGACAGGGCUCAUGAGUUAAAGCGCCCCGACGACGGAUCUCCCGUUGCGCAUCCGCUUCUUCAUUGCCGCUGACGUCACUGGCGCUUUAUAUUCCCCAUUCAUUCUUAAGGCCCGACCACUAACGAGCACACCCCAUCUUUCCACUUCCACAUAUCUCCUUUUCGCAUGAAUACGUCCAAAUGAAGGGUUCGCAUCUAUUAAUGAAACCUAAGUCAAGCGGGGAUGGCCUGAUUCCCAAUGCUCUCCCGCGGUGAUCAUCAGUUUCCGAUUUUCUCUUGGCUGCGUGGGGAAAAACGCGAUUGGUGGCGCAGAGUAAGAAAAGAAAAUAAUAAAGUAAGAAUAAAAAGGAGAACAAGAACUUCACUCCAUGAAGCCGAUGACACUGUCCGAUGAACGAAUGCGAUAAUCACCACCAAAAUUAAACCUGCAUUCUUAAAAAUCGAGGAGUGGGAUUCGGUGCUGGGCGGAGUCUAUACACCGCCCAAAAAACCCAGGUAAAAUGAGAGAGAAAUAAUUUUAGCACGACACUCUGGAAAAAGAGUAUCUUAUGCUCGGUAUAAUAAUGUAAGUCCUUAGAUUCCAUUUCGCAUUCACGCACCAAUCGAGGUUUUGGGGCGCACGUAGACUCCAAGAUUGAAUUUUGAAGUCACUUUAAAUGAGUGUUUUGUGCAAGAACGGGUAUGUCACGAAAAUAUGCCGGAAAAUCGCGAUUUUCGAGCUUUUCACGGUUAUAAAACCGCUCCCACUAGACCUAAAAAGAAAAAAGCGGCAUCAUUUUGGUCUAUAAAGUAAUCAGCAUUAAUUCUUAAGGUAUUGCAAACCUGAAAUUUUGCGAAAGAACGAAUUUAUUUCACGAAAAUGGCGGAAAACCGUGGAAAAUCGCGAUUUUACGAGUUUCAGAGCUUUCCACGGCUCCAGCGCUUUCCCUAAUGAAGCUAUGGAAAAAACGUUCAAAUUAUUUUUAUAGGAAAUUUUUAUCAGCUUUAAUUAUGAAAAUAACUAUUUUCUCGAUACAUUGCACUGGGAAAGAGAUAUCUCGAAAAAACCGCGGAAAAACGUGAUUUUUCGCGGUUUUUCCGAUUUUCCGGAGUUAGCACAAGAAAAAUUUGUUGGGAAACCAAAAAUUCGGAUUCAGCGUGAAAAAUUACAUAUGAAUCAAUCAUAACCUGAUUUCACCUAAAUUUUGCAAGGUAAAAUCCUUUAUUGCCUGGACUAAUGUUUGAGUGUGCAGUUUGGCAUACAAGCCCUACCUAAAUGUAGUAGUCCAGUCAUUCUAGCUUUUUACCUCGGACAAAUUAGCACAAACUUUUCCUUUGGUAUAUAGGGUCUCUAGGUACCCAAUAAGACAGAAAAAAA